RNAcentral lists this ribosomal RNA (330 nucleotides) under uncultured bacterium. RNAcentral's name for it is "partial 16S ribosomal RNA". The record is from RNAcentral.
UCCCGGGAACGUAUUCACCGCGCCGUGGCUGAUGCGCGAUUACUAGCGAAUCCAGCUUCACGGAGUCGAGUUGCAGACUCCGAUCCGAACUGAGAGUGGUUUUGGAGAUUAGCAUCCUGUCGCCAGGUAGCUGCCCUUUGUACCACCCAUUGUAACACGUGUGUCGCCCCGGACGUAAGGGCCGUGCUGAUUUGACGUCAUCCCCACCUUCCUCGCAUCUUACGAUGGCAGUCUCACUAGAGUCCUCAGCAUGACCUGUUAGUAACUAAUGAUGAGGGUUGCGCUCGUUAUGGCACUUAAGCCGACAUCUCACGACACGAGCUGACGACA